AACGCUGGCGGCGUGCUUAACACAUGCAAGUCGAACGGAAAGGCCUCUGCUUGCAAGGGGUACUCGAGUGGCGAACGGGUGAGUAACACGUGGGUGAUCUGCCUUGCACUCUGGGAUAAGCUUGGGAAACUGGGUCUAAUACCGGAUAUGAACUGCCUUUAGUGUGGUGGUUGGAAAGUUUUUUCGGUGCAAGAUGAGCUCGCGGCCUAUCAGCUUGUUGGUGGGGUAAUGGCCUACCAAGGCGUCGACGGGUAGCCGGCCUGAGAGGGUGUACGGCCACAUUGGGACUGAGAUACGGCCCAGACUCCU
Molecule: ribosomal RNA, 309 nt
Filed under: uncultured Corynebacterium CB1
Lineage: Bacteria; Bacillati; Actinomycetota; Actinomycetes; Mycobacteriales; Corynebacteriaceae
Description: bacterial SSU rRNA
Rfam family: Bacterial small subunit ribosomal RNA
Source: RNAcentral